GCGCGGCUGGUGGAAUUGGCAGACACGCAAGACUUAGGAUCUUGUAUCGCAAGAUGUACGGGUUCGACCCCCGUGCCGCGCACCA
RNAcentral lists this transfer RNA (85 nucleotides) under Lentisphaeria bacterium. RNAcentral describes it as "tRNA-Leu". It matches the Rfam family "tRNA". From Rfam's summary of the family: Transfer RNA (tRNA) molecules are approximately 80 nucleotides in length. Their secondary structure includes four short double-helical elements and three loops (D, anti-codon, and T loops). Further hydrogen bonds mediate the characteristic L-shaped molecular structure. tRNAs have two regions of fundamental functional importance: the anti-codon, which is responsible for specific mRNA codon recognition, and the 3' end, to which the tRNAs corresponding amino acid is attached (by aminoacyl-tRNA synthetases). tRNAs cope with the degeneracy of the genetic code in two manners: having more than one tRNA (with a specific anti-codon) for a particular amino acid; and 'wobble' base-pairing, i.e. permitting non-standard base-pairing at the 3rd anti-codon position. Lineage: Bacteria; Pseudomonadati; Lentisphaerota; Lentisphaeria. The record is from RNAcentral.